Molecule: ribosomal RNA, 480 nt
Filed under: uncultured bacterium
Lineage: Bacteria
Description: bacterial SSU rRNA
Rfam family: Bacterial small subunit ribosomal RNA
Source: RNAcentral
UGAACGCUGGCGGCGUGGCUUAACACAUGCAAGUCGAACGGGGAACCAUUGUAGCAAUAUAGGUGGUUCUUAGUGGCGGACGGGUGAGUAACGCGUGAGGAACCUGCCUUGGAGAGGGGAAUAACACAUUGAAAGAUGUGCUAAUACCGCAUGAUAUAUCAAUUUCGCAUGGGAUUGAUAUCAAAGAUUAAUCGCUCUGAGAUGGCCUCGCGUCUGAUUAGCUAGUAGGUGGGGUAAUGGCCCACCUAGGCGACGAUCAGUAGCCGGACUGAGAGGUUGACCGGCCACAUUGGGACUGAGAUACGGCCCAGACUCCUACGGGAGGCAGCAGUGGGGAAUAUUGGGCAAUGGGCGCAAGCCUGACCCAGCAACGCCGCGUGAAGGAAGAAGGCCCUCGGGUUGUAAACUUCUUUUAAGAGGGACGAAAGAAAUGACGGUACCUCUUGAAUAAGCCACGGCUAACUACGUGCCAGCCGCCGC